CUGGGUGUAGCUCACUAGUACAGCACAUGCUUAGCAUGCAUAAGGCCCUGGGUUCAAUCCUCCGCACCCAGA
RNAcentral lists this transfer RNA (72 nucleotides) under Heterocephalus glaber (naked mole-rat). It matches the Rfam family "tRNA". From Rfam's summary of the family: Transfer RNA (tRNA) molecules are approximately 80 nucleotides in length. Their secondary structure includes four short double-helical elements and three loops (D, anti-codon, and T loops). The record is from Rfam by way of RNAcentral. Lineage: Eukaryota; Metazoa; Chordata; Mammalia; Rodentia; Bathyergidae.